ACUCCUACGGGAGGCAGCAGUGGGGAAUAUUGCACAAUGGGCGCAAGCCUGAUGCAGCCAUGCCGCGUGUGUGAAGAAGGCCUUCGGGUUGUAAAGCACUUUCAGUCGUGAGGAAGGUAGUGUAGUUAAUAGCUGCAUUAUUUGACGUUAGCGACAGAAGAAGCACCGGCUAACUCCGUGCCAGCAGCCGCGGUAAUACGGAGGGUGCGAGCGUUAAUCGGAAUUACUGGGCGUAAAGCGCAUGCAGGUGGUUUGUUAAGUCAGAUGUGAAAGCCCGGGGCUCAACCUCGGAAUAGCAUUUGAAACUGGCAGACUAGAGUACUGUAGAGGGGGUUAGAAUUUCAGGUGUAGCGGUGAAAUGCGUAGAGAUCUGAAGGAAUACCGGU
Molecule: ribosomal RNA, 386 nt
Filed under: uncultured bacterium
Lineage: Bacteria
Description: bacterial SSU rRNA
Rfam family: Bacterial small subunit ribosomal RNA
Source: RNAcentral